RNAcentral lists this ribosomal RNA (253 nucleotides) under uncultured bacterium. RNAcentral's name for it is "partial 16S ribosomal RNA". It matches the Rfam family "Bacterial small subunit ribosomal RNA", at positions 524 to 776 of the family's 1533-position model. The record is from RNAcentral.
UACAGAGGUCUCAAGCGUUGUUCGGAUUCAUUGGGCGUAAAGGGUGCGUAGGUGGCGGGGUAAGUCAGGUGUGAAAUUUCGGAGCUUAACUCCGAAACUGCAUUUGAUACUGCCUUGCUUGAGGACUGGAGAGGAGACUGGAAUUCACGGUGUAGCAGUGAAAUGCGUAGAUAUCGAGAGGAACACCAGUGGCGAAGGCGAGUCUCUGGACACUUCCUGACGCUGAGGCACGAAAGCCAGGGGAGCAAACGGG